CGGGAAACCGGAGCUAAUACCGGAUAAUAUAUUGAACCGCAUGGUUCAAUGGUGAAAGACGGUUUUGCUGUCACUUAUAGAUGGAUCCGCGCCGCAUUAGCUAGUUGGUAAGGUAACGGCUUACCAAGGCAACGAUGCGUAGCCGACCUGAGAGGGUGAUCGGCCACACUGGAACUGAGACACGGUCCAGACUCCUACGGGAGGCAGCAGCA
This 212-nucleotide ribosomal RNA is filed under the name uncultured Staphylococcus sp. Its description in RNAcentral is "partial 16S ribosomal RNA". It matches the Rfam family "Bacterial small subunit ribosomal RNA", at positions 150 to 355 of the family's 1533-position model. The record is from RNAcentral. Lineage: Bacteria; Bacillati; Bacillota; Bacilli; Caryophanales; Staphylococcaceae.